AACGCGAAGAACCUUACCUGGGCUCGAAAUGUAGUGGAAUCGGGUGGAAACAUCCGCGUCUCGCAAGAGACUGCUAUAUAGGUGCUGCAUGGCUGUCGUCAGCUCGUGUCGUGAGAUGUUGGGUUAAGUCCCGCAACGAGCGCAACCCUUAUCCCUAGUUGCCAUCGGGUCAAGCCGGGCACUCUAGUGAAACCGCCCAGGAUAACUGGGAGGAAGGUGGGGAUGACGUCAAGUCCUCAUGGCCUUUAUGUCCAGGGCUACACACGUGCUACAAUGGUCGGUACAAACCGUCGCAAACCCGCGAGGGGGAGCUAAUCGGAAAAAGCCGGCCUCAGUUCGGAUUGGAGUCUGCAACCCGACUCCAUGAAGCUGGAAUCGCUAGUAAUCGCGGAUCAGAACGCCGCGGUGAAUACGUUCCCGGGCCUUGUA
Molecule: ribosomal RNA, 429 nt
Filed under: uncultured Acidobacterium sp.
Lineage: Bacteria; Pseudomonadati; Acidobacteriota; Terriglobia; Terriglobales; Acidobacteriaceae
Description: bacterial SSU rRNA
Rfam family: Bacterial small subunit ribosomal RNA
Source: RNAcentral